RNAcentral lists this ribosomal RNA (463 nucleotides) under uncultured bacterium. RNAcentral describes it as "partial 16S ribosomal RNA". It matches the Rfam family "Bacterial small subunit ribosomal RNA", at positions 28 to 507 of the family's 1533-position model. The record is from RNAcentral.
GAUGAACGCUGACAGAAUGCUUAACACAUGCAAGUUGAUGGGGAAGUGGUGCUUGCACCAUGGUAACCAUGGCGGACGGGUGGGUAACGCGUAAGGUACUUACCUGCGGGACCGGGAUAACAGCAGGAAACUGCUGACAAGACCGGAUAAGGUCAUUAAGCUGCAUAGCUUAGUGAUGAAAGGAGACGCCUGCGGAGAGCCUUGCGUCCUAUUAGCUAGUUGGAGGGGUAACGGCCCACCAAGGCGAAGAUAGGUAGCCGGCCUGAGAGGGUGGACGGCCACAAGGGGACUGAGAUACGGCCCUUACUCCUACGGGAGGCAGCAGUGGGGAAUAUUGGACAAUGGGGGCAACCCUGAUCCAGCAAUUCUGUGUGCACGAAGACGGUUUUCGGAUUGUAAAGUGCUUUCAGCAGGGAAGAAGGAAGUGACGGUACCUGCAGAAGAAGCGACGGCUAAAUACGUG